UACAAUCAUUUAAUUGGUCUUCUGCUUGAACAGUACAACACUUAGCAGGCUUUUGACUUCCAGAAAGCAAUAAAAGAGAUAAAACUACUGUGCACAGUAGUUGUCAUAGCUUUCUUUUUCUUGACGUAUUUUACACUUGUGCAAGUGGUUUAUGAGACAUAAAUUAUAACCUUAUAUGUAAUUUAAUUUAUGAGAUACAAGGUAUAGACUUGUUAGUUGCAUGCUCUUCUGUUUGCAUUGUUUUGCUUUCUUUUAAGUAAUAGAUGUGUUUUUUGUUUGUUUGUUUUUUUGUUUUUAGUUCAUUAUAAGAUGCAUAAAUGGUAAGUUAGUUCUAAUAUCCAAAUGUCGUUGCAAACAAAGACUUCACAGAUGGUUAUUCUACAUGGAAAUUUCUCUCGCUCACCCUUCAACUCACAACCUCCUCUGCUUUGAAAAGUUGCAACUGGAGGAAAAUGAGGAAAAAUGCUUCCUUGCUACUCUGCAAGCCUGCAUCUAUUUAAGCCAAGCAUAUUGUGGUAACUCAAGGUAAAAUGACAGGCUUAAGUUCCAAUAAAUUAUUCAGCUGUGAUGUAAACCA
RNAcentral lists this long non-coding RNA (577 nucleotides) under Anas platyrhynchos platyrhynchos (common mallard). RNAcentral describes it as "lncRNA (ENSAPLG00000022066.1)". The record is from RNAcentral. Lineage: Eukaryota; Metazoa; Chordata; Aves; Anseriformes; Anatidae.